Molecule: non-coding RNA, 126 nt
Organism: Myotis brandtii (Brandt's bat)
Lineage: Eukaryota; Metazoa; Chordata; Mammalia; Chiroptera; Vespertilionidae
Source: Rfam
CAUGCACUGGUGGGGUCCCUCAGCCUGGCCUGCACCCUCUCACAAUCCAGGACCCCUCAGGGAUGUGAGAGAACCGGUUUCUGCCCGAUCUCUGCAGGCCAGGCUGAGGGACCCCACUGGUGCAUG